AAGGCUCUUCCGCUCCCUCUUGCAGGCAUGCUUAGCACCUGGAUUGCUAAUACAAUAGAAAUGAAUAUUUAAUACCUGCGUAGUGGGGAGGAGGGCAUGGCCAAAACGCUUCCGAUCUGAAUUCAUGACAGCCGCCUUUCGGAACUGGAAUCGUUAGACGAAGCCUUUACAAGACCCGGUAUUUUCUUCAGCUACGGUUUCCCCUCUGCCUUUCCCGGCUAGAGUUGCAGCAUAUCCCACCUUUGCCUAAAUGACUGCAUGCUAGCACCUAAAACCAGGACCUUGCCCUAGGGAUGUCCGAAGAUGCUCAGGGCUGCUCACAUGCAUGCUCUGUGCGGCAGUCGCUGCCUAGCAGCCAUCGUGGCCGCUUCUUCCUGGGAAGUGGGGGGUGUGCAGGGAAGAUAUCCAGGCUCAGGAUGCUUUGGACUUGGGGUGAGAGCCGGGUGCUGGAGGGCCCGAUCCCGCAGCUCGGGGCUCAGUCCCGCCACCCCGCAGUGGCCUCUGGACUAUCGCAUCAGCCUUGUGCCACCCCCACAUCUCCUCCAGCAUCUUCCAACCGGUCUCCCUCGCUCUGCCCCCGCCCGCGCCUCCGAUCCCUGGGAUAUUCGGUUUCUUUUCCUUUCUCAAUGUGUGUUCCUGAUGUGGUCCUGUCGGAAAAGCUCGUUUACUCUGCCCGGGUCUCCAGUGGUUUAAGGAUAAUGUUUAUCAGAAGUGAACGUGCUCAACUUGUUUCCAUUUAACUGCUGAGUGCGGGCUGAAAUAACAAAGGUCACAUCCACAGUGAGUCGGCAGAGGGCAGGGGGAGCCGCGAGGGGGAGGAAAACAUUAUCAUAUACAACGGCCUGUUGAUCGCGGGGACCUGCCUGGCAAAAAGAUUAAUUUCAGCUCUCAGGUGGCAGCACUAGCUGGAGGUUGCGGCUCACUGAGACAUCCCCGCGUGCGGGCACCCCAGACCCGCGUUGGCAGUAGAAAUCACCGAUGGAUCUGCGCACGCUGCGAUUUCGACACGGGCUACACGCGCUUUCCGGACCCGACCUUGGCGGCUUUUCAGCUGCAUUGCAAAGCGGUCGAAAGAAACGACAAAGCCUCUCGCCUGUUCCCAGUGCGCUGCUUUUCGUUGAUCUUUAAAGGAACCCAAAUCACCUUCCCCGCCCCGCCAGUACAGACUGUGAUUGAAAAGCACGAGCUCACGUAAGGCAUAACGGGCUAGAUCUUUUAUUGAAAACCCUUUUGUAUAGAGCACGCCUAACGCCGGCUCUCAGCGAGAGGCAGAGUUUCCUGGAUGUGCUUCAGCGGCUGGAAAAGCCUGGCACCUGGUGUCACUCCGGGGCUCCCGCGGCGCAGAGACACGCGGGUUGCCUGCCCCCGCUGCGCAGGGAGGCGAUGGACUGCAGCUCCUGCCCGGGCGCCGCGGCUGAGGCUGCCGGGGCUGGAGCGCCCGGGCGCGGCGGGCAGCCUAGAGCGCCCCGCGCCGGGCAACGAGCGCGCCGAGACUGGGCAGCGGGGUUGCAAGCUCCUCGGAGCGACUGGCAGAGCGAGCAAGCAGCUGGGGCAGGACUGGCGGGAGGGCGGAGGGAAGGUGUUUGUGGACACAGCUGGCGGUGAAGAGACUAAAGGAGCUCCGUGUGGGCUUUUCCCGAGGAGGAGGGGAGCCAGCCCGGGCCACUGGCCACUGAGUGCAAACAGGACCUUUGGUCUGGCCCACUUGGGCAUCCUGUUAGGGCUGGGGCUGGGGGCAGCAGAAUGACCCCGAACCCGUGCCCACAGUGGCAGGAGGCGUAGACAGAUGCGGUUAUUUUAACCAACUGGAAACCAAUUACAGUCUUUUUUAAAAUGUGCUCUGCCACCGAAUUGGAGAAGGAGCCGGGGCUGGAGUGACAGGGGGCGGUGUAUUGUGAGAGCUGAUUACUCUGCGUACAAUGCGACACGUUGCAGGAAGAAUCAUAUGUAAGACUGGGUUUAUUUUUUAAAAAGAAUAUAAGCUGCCCCCCCCCCCCCCCCGCCGUCUUCUGAUCAAACCGCCCGGUGGGGGACUAAAGGGCUAACAUAACUCUAAAUAGUCAUCUGUUUCCGCGCCUGGCUAGUAUAGGGGAUUUUUCUGAAAUGUCUCCCAGCAUAGAAGAGGGAUCUUGGACUCUGUACCUUGCCUUAGAUGGACACGGAGAGACCUAGUUCAAGAUGGCCUUUUGCUAGAGGCCAGUGUGUUGAGUACUCAGACACAGAGAAGAGAUGGCAUCUUUCUGAUGUGCUGGUGGGGAGGAGGGGUUGACCAAAGGUGCCUCCUGGGACUCUCUGUGGCAUUGCACGGGGUCUCCCCCCCCCACACACACACACUUUGAUUGCUUGCUGGACCUCCCCCCCCCCCCCCACGGCCUAUUUCUACACUACAGUGUUCUCAGAUGUACUACCCCCCCCACCUACCUUUACACAAAACGCACUUAAAACAAAGUCCCUGAAAGCCUCGCUGCUGAAAGUGUCUUUCAACAUAAUAGAGACGAAGAGCUUUUCGAAAGCGAGCUCUUCUCCUAGCCGGAGAGCCGCCAUCCAAACUUUUGCAGCAGUGACUGAGCAGCAACUACAAAUCGAGCGUGCAGCUUGCGCCGCCCCGCAGCCCCGGGCGCUGGCGGCUCUUCCAGGCCUUCUGCGUGCGGAGCAGGGGCCGUGGGAAGAGGGAUCCCGGCUACACGGUGCAGAUCACACUUUUUAUCCAUGGUAUUAGCCUCUUCGCCUUUUGUAUCCUCAGCUCUGCAGUCCCCGGGGAGUUCUGAUACACUUGUUUUUUCUGGGUUUUAAGAACGAAUGCAUAUGUCCUGGACCUAUGUAGAGGCACAGAUUCAUACAGAUAUCUCGCUGCGGGGCAUGGGGAAUCGCCGCACCCACGGCUCAGGAGGGGACGCUGUGCGCUGCCCUGUUCUGAUCAGCCUUCGACCAGCUCCAGAAAUGGACUUUUUGCCAUGCUCUCCAGCCUCCUCCUCCGGGGACCUUCUGCUCCCUCAGGUGGUGGCGAGGCCCUCACUGUGGGGCUAAGAAAUCCCCAGUCCCCAAAGCCUGGUGCAUGUCAGGACACUUCGGGACACCCCCUAAGGCAACAGGCAGCCAGCAUGACAGCAGGGGGGCUCGAUGUGCCGGCCGGGCUGAGCGGGGACAGCACGGGGAAGCUUCCUGAGAGGGUUUACCUUUCCUGCGGCUUGAGGGACAGGAGGCUGGAGCUGCCCCUGCGGAGAGAUGGUGACAGAGGAGGAGUCCACCAGGCAGGUCCGCGGGACGUGUCUCCAGGGUCUCUUGGAAAGCAGGAGAGUGUCUGUCGCUGCACUGAUCAAGGCCAAAACGACAUCCCUAAGCCAGGCAGCGGGGGCGCUCCCUCGGCUGCAUCAGAAACUCCCCGCAGUUCAUCGCAGCUCAACCUCCAAACUUCAGGACAGCCCUGGCCUUAAAGAGUAGCGGGUGCCUAAGCAGAGACUUGGUGUGGUGGCCUGGGGGCAUCUCAGGGCUCUGCCUCCCCAGUGAUGAUCUGAUCUGCUCGCCAGAUCAGCUUUCACUGCAGUUUACGGAACACCGCUCACGUACCAAAACCCACUGAAAUAAACUGCACAAUGCUGGCCUGAUUCCCUUAGUGUCAUCACAACCCCAUCAGCCAGCGGUGCAAACAGCGUCUAACUGCGCCUCGCACUAAGCCCUCUCCCAUCACCAAGCGCAACUCCCCUAUGUACAGAGGCAAGACAGGACGGGGACGUCUGCUAAGCACAACACCUAAAUAAUAGCGUGCUGUUCUCCCCGUGCUUUUGUUAGCCGAGUUUCUCAAAAAUAGGCAGCCAAGGUAGUACACAGAAAGUUUGCGUGAGAUAUGGGCGUCUCUUCUCGACAGUAAAACCCUGCGGGAGCAACCACACGCAUUGUAAACAUCCAAGAAGACCAGGAUAAAUGCCAUUCUUGUUUAUGAUGUCCAGAGACACGAUUUAACCGUGAGGUUAUGAGCUUGACAAGUCCAGAGAAAGUUUCCUUUCCUUGGAGUCUCAGACCAGCAGAGACUCCUUAUGCCUGAAGAAGAGUGACUGCGCCCGAAAGCUCGCUAAGAACUUUUUUCCAACUACUCAGUUGGUCUAAUAAAAGAUAUCACAUCUA
Molecule: long non-coding RNA, 4122 nt
Organism: Alligator mississippiensis (American alligator)
Lineage: Eukaryota; Metazoa; Chordata; Crocodylia; Alligatoridae
Exons: 6
Source: RefSeq, a predicted model, not a curated record